GAUGAACGCUGGCGGCGUGCCUAAUACAUGCAAGUCGAGCGAACAGACGAGGAGCUUGCUCCUCUGACGUUAGCGGCGGACGGGUGAGUAACACGUGGAUAACCUACCUAUAAGACUGGGAUAACAUCGGAAAACCGGAGCUAAUACCAGAUAAUAUAUUCAACCGCAUGGAUCAAUAGUGAAAGACGGUUUUGCCGUCUCUUAUAGACGGAUCCGCGUCGCAUUAGUUAGUUGGUAAGGUAACGGCUCACCAAGGCAACGGAGCUGAGCUGAACUGAGGGGGUGAUCAGCCACCCUGGGACUUGGAAACGGUGCCAACCCCUAAGGGGGGCAGCCGUGGGGAAAAUUGGACAAUGGGGGGAAGCCUGAACCAGCCAACCCGGGUGGGUGAAGAAGGCCUUCGGGUUGUAAAACCCUUUUGUUUGGAAAGAAAAAAAGGAGGUUAAUACCCUGCUGUUCUGACGGUACCCAAAGAAGAAGCACCGGCUAACUUCGUG
This 497-nucleotide ribosomal RNA is filed under the name uncultured bacterium. RNAcentral's name for it is "partial 16S ribosomal RNA". It matches the Rfam family "Bacterial small subunit ribosomal RNA", at positions 28 to 507 of the family's 1533-position model. The record is from RNAcentral.